Long non-coding RNA from Gallus gallus (chicken), 1343 nucleotides. NCBI's taxonomy places the organism in Eukaryota, Metazoa, Chordata, Aves, Galliformes, Phasianidae. The record is from Ensembl.
AGCUAAUCAGGUCUGUCAGAGAAUGGAAGCCUUUAGAGUUUCACAGCAACUUGAAUAACAUGAUCUCAAGAGAACCCUGCUCUUUGUUAAAUAAUGACUGGCUGUUAUAGAUGGACAACACUGACAUUCUCAGAGAAGGAAGAACUGUUUUGUCAUACCAGCAACUACAGCAACUGUAAAAUCAGGCAAUUUUGACAAGCCUCCCAGCAGCAGUGCAAGGAAGUAGGAAAGUAGUAAGCAGAAUUUCCUUUGUAUUACUCUAGUUUAUUUACUCUGAAUGACUCACUGCAAAAAACUUACUGCUGCAAGCCACAACUGUAAUGUUUUUUAAGUUUGAGUCAUGCACAGAAUGACUUACUCAUGAGGGCUGGACAAUAACAUCUGUAUGUAAAAGCCAAACUAUUCGUGUCACACCCUAUUUUCCUACUCUGGCCACUCUUCCAGGCAGAGAAGAUGCAUGUCUGUUUUGAAACUUGUUUUCUCUACAGCCAAGAUUUAUUACAGUUAAAAUAAUUUUCACAAGUUUUGUGACAGUUUCUGUGUAACUAGGGGACAAGUGCAUAUGUAAUUAUGCAGCUUACAUCUCUCCACACAGUGAUAGCUGCAUAUCAGAUGCCAGGUGAGCGCUUCUCUGAGUACUUUUAAUAGUCGAGAUUUCUGUGAUAGGAUUCAGGACAGUGAAUAACCCCUCUUAAAAUUUAUAAAUUUUACAGCUAGAUAAUCAAUCUGGUCUGUGUUCCUUGGUGACUAAAGUGUCAUAGUUUAAAUUACAGCAACAAGGGCAAUUUUUUUAUUUGCAAGUGAAGUAUUUUCUGUUGAGAUAGGAGGAUUUGUUGUUUAUUAUCACAGAGGAGUUAAAUGCGAGUUAAGUGGGAACUGGAGUAUGAUUGCUGAAAGGGUCAGUAACUUCAGGAGAAAAAGCAUGUUAAAACAAAACUUCUGAGAACUUUCCUUGUUCUUAGCUCUUUUGUGCUCAUUACAAAUAAUUGGCUUUGUUGUAACUGAUAAAAGAAACACAGCCCUGUAAUUCAAGUUAACAAAUUAUGUUUUUGUUAUGCCCAUUUAAUAACCACACAUCAGGCCAGGACAAGAUGUCUCCUCAUUAUGAAGUUGUUUAAAAUCAGUCUGACUUUGGGUUCUGGGCUGGGUUAACAUCAAAAGUGGGAAUUUGUUUCAAAACUUUAAAGAAUUUAUCUUUUAUCUGAUAGAUCCACACAAGAUACAUGGAUUUUCUUCGAACUUCAGGGGAAAAAAAAAAUAAUCACAAAUCUGACCAUAAAAGAAUGCACUAAAAACAACACCUCAAGUAAUAAUUGAUUUUCAUAAUGCAAGUCUGAAGUGGG